Non-coding RNA from Pantherophis guttatus, 907 nucleotides. The record is from RefSeq and is a predicted model, not a curated record. Lineage: Eukaryota; Metazoa; Chordata; Lepidosauria; Squamata; Colubridae.
AUAUAGGCAGAUUUCCUUUUUCAGCAACUAUUUGUUGACAAGCUUUGGGAAGGAAGGUGAUAUGAACAAAAACAUUUGGAAAAAAGAAGAUCCCUGAAAAGAAGAUUCAGACAGACAACUUUCAGAACCAGUUAUAAGUUGCUGGUUGGGAAGUCACAAAUAGUGAUCACAUGGAUGUUGCAACCAUCAUAAAUACAUGUCUGUUUCCAAGUGCCUGAAUUUUCAUCAUGUGGCUGUGAAAGAGGCCGUGAUGGUCAUAUGUGUGAGAACUGAAUCUGGCAUCAUCUGGGUUCCAGCUGAAAUGGUACUAGCUACUGUAUAGUGAAUGCCUAAAGUUUCAGUGCCGUCUGAGUCCAAAGCAAAACCAAGUGACUCAAAAAGAUAGACAAGAGAGGUCACCUAAGCAUCUAUCCCUAAGAUCUGAGGGAACAAACAGGCGUUUAAUGCCUUGAGAAAGGCCUUCAAAGGGUUGUGGCCAUCAGAAACUCAGGAGGUGAUGGAUGCUGUUCUACAGGAAGAUGCUGUGACAGAAGAUGCUGUGACAGAGUUAACAGACUUGAGUGCAUUUUUCUACUGCAAAUACUCUUCAGAUUUACCAAAUGGUCUAGUUUCUUUAACAGAAUCCUAAGCUUGCCACAUAGUAUAGGAGGGGGGAGAAAAUCUAGAAUGUCAGACCAGACAACAACAGAUCAUCCCGUGGGAACCAAGGUCAGCUCAACAGGUGCUGGCCAAAGACUAAGAGGAGUUGCCAAAGAGACACCAGAAUACCUAAUUGGACAAUGUGACCUAUGACAAUAAGGGAGGGAGUUAUCUAUUCUUUAACUAAACCACAGGAAAUAGUUAGCUCUGGUUUUGUUUUCAUCCGUGCCAAAAUGAUGUAUGCAAUAAAACAGUUCUUUGACAAAGU